CACGUAGGGGCCAAGCGUUGUCCGGAUUUAUUGGGCGUAAAGAGCUCGUAGGCGGUUCGCCAAGUCGGGUGUGAAAACUCCGGGCUCAACCCGGAGACGCCACCCGAUACUGUCGUGACUGGAGUCCGGUAGGGGAGUGGGGAAUUCCUGGUGUAGCGGUGAAAUGCGCAGAUAUCAGGAGGAACACCGGUGGCGAAGGCGCCACUCUGGGCCGGUACUGACGCUGAGGAGCGAAAGCGUGGGUAGCAAACAGG
RNAcentral lists this ribosomal RNA (254 nucleotides) under uncultured bacterium. RNAcentral describes it as "partial 16S ribosomal RNA". It matches the Rfam family "Bacterial small subunit ribosomal RNA", at positions 524 to 776 of the family's 1533-position model. The record is from RNAcentral.